AGUGAACGCUGGCGGUAGGCCUAACACAUGCAAGUCGAACGGCAGCACAGUAAGAGCUUGCUCUUACGGGUGGCGAGUGGCGGACGGGUGAGGAAUACAUCGGAAUCUACUUUUUCGUGGGGGAUAACGUAGGGAAACUUACGCUAAUACCGCAUACGACCUACGGGUGAAAGCAGGGGAUCUUCGGACCUUGCGCGAUUGAAUGAGCCGAUGUCGGAUUAGCUAGUUGGCGGGGUAAAGGCCCACCAAGGCGACGAUCCGUAGCUGGUCUGAGAGGAUGAUCCGCCACACUGGAACUGAGACACGGGCCAGACUCCUACGGGAGGCAGCAGUGGGGAAUAUUGGACAAUGGGCGCAAGCCUGAUCCAGCCAUACCGCGUGGGUGAAGAAGGCCUUCGGGUUGUAAAGCCCUUUUGUUGGGAAAGAAAAGCAGCAGGUUAAUACCCCGCUGUUCUGACGGUACCCAAGAAUAAGCACCGGCUAACUUCGUG
Molecule: ribosomal RNA, 491 nt
Filed under: uncultured bacterium
Lineage: Bacteria
Description: partial 16S ribosomal RNA
Rfam family: Bacterial small subunit ribosomal RNA
Source: RNAcentral